This 834-nucleotide ribosomal RNA is filed under the name Triticum aestivum (bread wheat). RNAcentral describes it as "partial small subunit ribosomal RNA". The record is from RNAcentral. Lineage: Eukaryota; Viridiplantae; Streptophyta; Magnoliopsida; Poales; Poaceae.
AUGCAGAAGAUUCUAGUUCCCCGGCCUCGCACAAUAUUAGUCCAAAGUUUACAAUUUUUCAUUCUUUUGGUAAUGGCCAAGUCACUGUUCGUGUCGUUGCGAGCAUUGAAGACACACUCAAUCAAGACAAAUGUGACAAACAUGAAGCAUCUUCGCUAUCUAGAUUGUUCUUAUUCUGAUAUAUCUUCACUACCUGAAGCCACUAUGAUGUUGUAUAGCUUGCAAACAUUGAAGCUCAAUUGUUGUAUGAAGCUUAAGAAAUUACCAGAAGGUAUGAGAUAUAUGAGCAGUCUUCGGCACAUCUUCCUCCAUGGGUGUUUUCGUUUGGAGCGCAUGCCACAAGGUAUUGGUCAACUGAAUUCUCUACAGACAUUGACAAAUUACGUGAUUGAUAGUGAUGCAGGCCGUGGAAUUGAGCAACUGAAAGAUUUUAAUCUUGGUGGUGGUCUUUCUUUGACAAAUCUGAGAGAAGUGCACAGUGCAGAAAAUGCUAAACAAGGCAAUAUAUCUGCCAAGAAUAAUUUGAAACGAUUGUCACUCAAUUGGUCCGGACCUUAUAGCACAAGCGAUGGAGAUGAAGUACAUACUGAUACAGAAGGAAUAUUAGAGGCCCUUCGUCCUCACAAAAGACUUGAAGUCUUAAUGUUAUCUGAUUAUACGGGUGCUAAAUUCUCAUCAUGGAUGCAUGACUCUACAAUGUUAGAACAACUAAGUGAACUUUCUCUGGGUAGCAAGAAUUGCAAGGAUCUUCCAGCAUUAUGGCAGCUGCCCUCCCUCCGGUACUUGUAUUUGCGAGGUUUUCAUAGCUUGACAAGUAUGCGCGUUGGUAAAUGA